AGGGUUGUAGUUAAGUAUAACAUUUGUUUUGCAUACAAAAAGUAUUGAUUUUCAAUCUUCCUU
Molecule: transfer RNA, 63 nt
Filed under: Potamanthellus edmundsi
Lineage: Eukaryota; Metazoa; Arthropoda; Insecta; Ephemeroptera; Neoephemeridae
Description: tRNA-Ala
Rfam family: tRNA
About the family: Transfer RNA (tRNA) molecules are approximately 80 nucleotides in length.
Source: RNAcentral